RNAcentral lists this ribosomal RNA (465 nucleotides) under Vreelandella stevensii. RNAcentral's name for it is "partial 16S ribosomal RNA". It matches the Rfam family "Bacterial small subunit ribosomal RNA", at positions 338 to 795 of the family's 1533-position model. Lineage: Bacteria; Pseudomonadati; Pseudomonadota; Gammaproteobacteria; Oceanospirillales; Halomonadaceae. The record is from RNAcentral.
CCUACGGGUGGCAGCAGUGGGGAAUAUUGGACAAUGGGCGAAAGCCUGAUCCAGCCAUGCCGCGUGUGUGAAGAAGGCCUUCGGGUUGUAAAGCACUUUCAGUGGGGAAGAAAGCCUUGGGGCUAAUACCCUCGAGGAAGGACAUCACCCCCAGAAGAAGCACCGGCUAACUCCGUGCCAGCAGCCGCGGUAAUACGGAGGGUGCGAGCGUUAAUCGGAAUUACUGGGCGUAAAGCGCGCGUAGGCGGUCUGAUAAGCCGGUUGUGAAAGCCCCGGGCUCAACCUGGGAACGGCAUCCGGAACUGUCAGGCUAGAGUGCAGGAGAGGAAGGUAGAAUUCCCGGUGUAGCGGUGAAAUGCGUAGAGAUCGGGAGGAAUACCAGUGGCGAAGGCGGCCUUCUGGACUGACACUGACGCUGAGGUGCGAAAGCGUGGGUAGCAAACAGGAUUAGAUACCCCUGUAGUC